CCUACGGGUGGCAGCAGUGAGGAAUAUUGGUCAAUGGACGCAAGUCUGAACCAGCCAAGCCGCGUGCAGGAAGACGGCCCUAUGAGUUGUAAACUGCUUUUGUACAAGGGUAAACGCAGAUACGCGUACCUUUCUGAAAGUAUCUUACGAAUAAGGAUCGGCUAACUCCGUGCCAGCAGCCGCGGUAAUACGGAGGAUUCAAGCGUUAUCCGGAUUUAUUGGGUUUAAAGGGUGCGUAGACGGUCGGAUAAGUUAGAUGUGAAAGUCCGAGGCUCAACUUCAGAAUUGCCUCUGAUACUGUCAGGCUAGAGAGUAGUUGCGGUAGGCGGAAUGUAUGGUGUAGCGGUGAAAUGCUUAGAGAUCAUGAAGAACACCGAUUGCGAAGGCAGCUUACCAAGCUACUUCUGACGUUGAGGCACGAAAGCGUGGGGAGCAAACAGGAUUAGAUACCCGGGUAGUC
Molecule: ribosomal RNA, 460 nt
Filed under: uncultured bacterium
Lineage: Bacteria
Description: partial 16S ribosomal RNA
Rfam family: Bacterial small subunit ribosomal RNA
Source: RNAcentral